ACUCUGCUGAUAGCUUUCAUAAUGCACCCGACUCCCACUUAGUACAACAAUGAACCCACCGAUCGCUCACUCAAGUGUUCUUUCCUUGCAUCCAAACAUCACAUAUACAUAGGCCUACUCAUCUGUCUCUUACUGAGUGAUUCAUUCUGAACGCUGCACAGCUAAAUCACAACAUCUCUACUUUCAUACUCUCCCGGCUAUCUCAGUUUUCCAAGCUUUUCAUGCUUCACCUUUCAAACCUGCCUCAGUGUACAAGAAUUGAUAGCUAGAAAUCGAACUCGAAACCCAUCCAUCUUUCUCACAUUUUCACACUCACCCCAUCCAUCCUUCUGUCACUCUGUUGUUCCCUCCUCUGUUAGUUCCUUCCAUUUUUGUUUGGGACAUUCAUUAUUCCCUGCCUCUUCAAAUCUGUGCCAUCUUUGGUUUCCUAAGCUAUGUGACAACUAAUAGUCUGCUCUGCCUCAGUUUCUUCAUUUUGAAGUGAGAAUAAUAGGAGCACUUACCUCACACUUAAUAAGAUAAUAUUAGUAAAGUGCUUAUCACAGUGCCUGACACAUAGUAGGUUCUUAAUAAAUGCUUAUUUCCUUUUCCUCCUCUUCCCUUUUUUUCCUCUUUCCUUUCCUUUCCUUCCAUUCCUUUUUGGCCCUCUUAUAUUCUAUGUACAUUUGUAGAGUUGACUCUGCCAUCGUAGAAGAAGAUAAACCGGGUUCCUCCAUAUGAUGUCAGUGUUUGUUGUGGGAAGUUCUGUAUCUGAUUGACAAACAUAUCGAAUUAUGUUCCCACUCACUAAUUAUGAAAUACAAAUGAAAACACCGCUUCAAUUUCACAGAUUGGUAAACACGAAAACAAGAGACAAAUGUUAAAUACCUGUCCAAAUGAGUGUGAAAAUCUUGUCAGUGAGGAGAGCUGUGAGGAGCUCUUGGGAUUUGGGGAAACAUUUUGCUAUCAGCAUAUAAGCCAUUAAACCUACAUUUAUACUUGCUAUGUCAACAUUACUCAUAUAAACACACGAUCUAUAGAUCUAUUUUCCAGUUGGACACUCACAUGCAUGUAUGUUCACAUAUCCUACAUAUAUGAAAGAGAAACAAAAAGAAAGUACCCAUCCUUGUGGUAGCAAAGCAGGGGAAGGAAAGCCACAUGGUCUUGAGAAUGGCAGGACAGAUUGUGGUGGGCAGAUGUCAUGGAUUCUCAUUGUUCUGUGAACCAAAACAGAGACAAAUAUUAAGUAUUCAGAAAAAAUUAAGAAGCUUUGGAUAUGGUAGUGCAAAACAAAGUAAGUGGAAAGUAGGAGAGAACUUUACACGAAGGCCACUAGAAUAUUCAAUAAAAUAACACAGGAAAGUUCCGAGUUCUACUCACUGUAGGAACUUGCUCAUGACAGGUCACGUGUGGCUUCUUCCUUCUUCAGAGAGGUAGGGCACAAAUAAGGCCUACAUUGGUAGUCAAGGGCAAUAUAGCGCUUUGUUUUUCUGAAUUGCAAUGGAAUGCCAUUGAAACAUAGGACAACGUCAAUAGGAGGAUUUCAGAGAAUCUUGGGAAAACUCUCCCUUGAUCCUACCAUCCACACUAGAUAUCCCUCCAUUUAUAUAUACUCCUCUACUCUGCUGUGUCCCCCAUCUGUAUCCUUUCAUCUGUCUCUGUGUCCCGGUGUUCAUGUUUGUCUGUGACCCUGUCUUUUCCCACUUGCUCGUGUGUCUGCGUCCAUGUGUCUACAUGCUUCCUUGGUCACCAUCAUUUUCAUCUCUCUGUCUCUUCCUCUUUGGUACAGAUCUCCUUGAUAAAGCCAUCUACAGCUGCUGCCUCCACUUUAUUCACUGUUCCAAACUCUGUCCUCUAGCUUCCAACCUCAUCCUUCCACUAUUUCCUCUAAUGAUCCCCUACUUGCUAAACCCAAUGGCCUUUUCUCAGUCCUCAUCCUUCUUGACCUGUACGUUGCAUUCAGUGCGUUUAAAGAGGCCCCUUUUCCUGGAUAGUCUAAAUGUUUCUGGUUUUUGUAAACUUUGUUCUUUCUUGGUUCUUCUCCUGUCUGUCUCAUCAUUCAUUCUCCAUCUCCUUUGCUGGAUCAUCAUCUAAAUCAUACUUACUAAAUCUGUGCCCCCAAAGCCUUUGCCUUGAGCCAUCUUCUCUUUUCUCUUUCUAAUUGUCAUUUGAUGACUGUGUCAGUUCCCAUGAGUUUAUUGAUCAUAUCUAUAUAAAUGAUUUGGAGAUACCUAUAUUCAGCCCUCGUUUCUCUCCUGAGAUCUAGGAUUACAAAUUACCUAUUUUACAACUGGAUGCCUUCUAGGUAUAUCAGAUUCAACACGUGCAAAACAGAACACAUUUUCUUGCUCUAUCCAUAUGCUCUGUGUCCCUAAUCUGUGUGUCCAGCUUUUCUGGCCACAUGUAUCUCCUGGUUUGUCUAGUUACUAAUUUUUCUAUAUCUUUCACAGGUCUGUGUGUCUCCCAUCUUCAUGUAUCAUCUGUGUAUGUCCCUCUGGCUAGCCACGAGGCUCUCUGAAUAUCCACAGAUUGUCCCAUCUCUUUCCCAAAAUUUGUGCAUCUACCCAGCUUAUUCUUUUAUUUGUCCCUCUCUAUACAUUUACUUUUGUCUGUAAGUGCCCAUUUGUCUGUUCUUCCCUUUGCUUUUGUAUCCUCUUUGUCCAUGUGAAUUCAUAUAUUACCAUAUUCACGCUGUGUAUCUUCAGCUAUAUCCCCCACCUCCUGCCUCUGUUCCCCCAGAUAUUGAAGAGGCCCUCAAGCGAUCCACAUGUUCCCCAGCUGUUUAUAUCCCACCUUAUAUCUGGGCAUAUUUCCCCCAUUUGUCCUUCCAUUUGAAUUGUCUUAGGAAGAUUCUAAAAAUACUUGGCAAGAUAAGGUACCAGAUGCCGAGGUCCUCUCUCGACUUGCUUUGAGCACCAAAGACAAAAGCAAAUCCCCAUCUGUAUUCCCCUUCGGGUGUGCAUCCCUCCAUUUAUAUAUACUCCUCUACUCUACUGUGUCCCCCCCUAUCUUUAUCCUUUCAUCUGUCUCUGUGUCCCAGUGUUCAUUUUUAUCUGUAACCGUGUCUUUUCCCACAUGCUCGUGUGUCUGCAUCCAUGUGUCUACAUGCUUCCUUGGUCACCAUUCCCAUAUGUUCCCUUGUGCUGCUAUGUCCUGUCCCCCUCGCUCAUUUUCCCCAUUUGUGUUUCUCCCAGUUGUCGCUGCCCCAUGUCUAAGCAGCCCUAUUUGAUUCACCAUAUAGAUGUUUCUUUUAGAGCUCUCAUUUAUUUGACAUGUCUUCCAUCUGUCUCUUGGUAUCCCACUACCAGUGUGUGUUUCUCAUCUGUCAUUUCCCUCCAUUUCUCUUUUGUUCUAUCUCUAUUGCCCCUUUGUGUGUCUAUCUGACUCUCCUUCUGCCCAUAGGUCCUCAUCAGUGUGUCUCUGUAUUUACCCUCCCUGCUUCUACGUACGCUCUGUCAGCGUGUAUACCCUCUAUGUUUCUGUGUCUACCCAUGCCUCCUCACCUGGGAUAUUCCUUGUCUUUGGGUCUUCUUUGUUCCCGUCCAUUGUAUACGUCCUCAUCUGAGUCCCACUUCCUUCGUGUAUCCCUGUCUUGUUAUCCGAUGUCUGUUUGUCCUGCUUCUGUUUUUUAAAUAAUAGCUCUAUUUAUCAAAAUAUAUUCAGAGAGUUUUCAACAUGCACCAAAAAACCUUGGGUUCCAAAUUUGUCCCCCUCCCUUCCUCUCCACCUCUCCCUUCCCCUAGAUAGCAAGCAAUCUAAUAUAGAUAAAUCAUGUGUAAUGCUUGUAAACGUCUUUUCAUAAUUAUCAUGCUGCACAAGAAAAAUCACAUCAAAUGGGGAAAAAUGAGAAAGAAAAAAAAACCAAGCAAGCAAAUAACAGUAGCAAAAAAGGAGAAAAUACUUUGAUGUGCUCCCCAUUCAGUCGCAUAGUUCUCUCUGGAUGCAGCCGGCUCUCUCCAUCAUAUGUCCAUAGGAAUUGGCCUGAAUCGUCUCAUUGUUGAGGAGUCAUGUCAUGCUUCUGUUUGUACAUGUCUCUAUGCCCCAUUCUACAUAUCACAUAUGUCUGUUCCCAAUCUGUUUGUUGCCAAAUCCUCCCAUUUAAGCACCUGGUCUACGACUGUCAACCCUUCUUCCUGUCUGUAUGUCCUCCUCUGUAAGGACAUUUCUGUGUUCCCUCCACUCCCCUCUGGUCCAUAGGGAUCACUUUUGUCAGUCUGGGUCUCUGUCUACCAUUUGUCCACAUCACCCUCCUUGGGAGUUCCCUCUGCCCACCUGUGCAUGUCCUGUCUGUUUUGUCCCAUUCUGCCCUCCUCUCUGUCCCUAUGUUUGUGUGCCCCAACUAUACCUUCCCUUAUGUGGAUCUCAUCUGGGUCUCCGUGGCAGUCUGUGUUUCAUCUGUCUCUCCAUUGGUGUGCCCACUCCCUUCUCUAUCUGUCAUGUCUGUGUGGCCCUUGUCUGGUCAUGUGCCCCUUCUUGUGUACGUGAAUGGGCAUGACCCCAUCUGGGUGCAUCUCCUUGUCAGGGCUCUCUGCCUGCAUCUGCUCCUGUUCCUGUAUGUCUCUCCCCCAUUCAUUUCUAUGACCUCCUGUCUUUCUGGGCAUCCUGGCAUCCCCAUGUCUGACUGUGCUGCACCCUACAUUUCAUGCCAAUGUAUGUCUGUUUCUUGGGGUCCUUCUGCCAAGAAACUGUGCUUUUCUUAAAGAAGGCACUUACUAGUAUAUCAGCCUGGGUGACUUCCACACUCCACCCGCGGCCCAUGUGGAGACUGCAGGUCACAAAAGAUCCCAGAUCAUUUUUAUCCCUCUCCCUCCAACUUUUCUCGUGGCUCUCUUCAGUUGGUUGUCUAUCUAUUACUUUGAGUCCUAUCUUUCUUCACAGCCACCCCUGUCCUAACAUUUUCCUGCCUCCCAUCAUCUGUCUCUAAUGUCUGCUUAUCUCUGUGUCCCAUGUACCUCCCUUUCUAUGGACCUAUCCGAGUGGCUCCCUGUCUCCAGGAGCCCUUCUCCCAGCAUGAACAAAGCGGUUUGCAAACCUUAAAUAUUUAUAUAAGUUUGAGAUAUUAUUAUUAUUAUUAUUAUUAUUAUUAUUAUUAUUAUUAUUAUUACUAUGAUUAGCACUCCUUGGAUAUUUCACUCAACACUUCUAAGUUGUUAUCAGCCCAUUCAUGACCGCCACUUUGCCCUGGUCAUCCAAGCACUUGUGAAAGCACCUAAUGAUACCGUCACCUAGUAGCCAUCACUCCCUUUUUCCCCAGAGCAACACAACAUACUCAGGCAAAUAAAAAUACAUGGCGAAAAUCUAGGUAAAUUAUAAAUUACAUCCCCAGAUGAUACAAUCCAGUAACCCUUUUCUCUCUUACCUGAUUCACUUUAUGGGCUCCGGUAUUUUGAACGUUGAAGAUUUGUGACCCCAGAGACCUUAGCAUACCAGGCCCUUCUGUCUGCUAUCUUACAAAGUCUGUCCAAGUUCACGUUUGCUCCUUCCAUGACACUCUCUCAUCUUUGUCACCUCCUGCCAUCCUCUUCUCCUUUUGCCUUCAAUCUUUUCAAACAUCAGAGAAGGACACUAUAGAAAGAAACAGAGAUGUUUCAGAGACAUGACAGGGUAGAGGUGAGAUUGAUUGCUUUCUCUUGUUUUUUGGGAACUCUUUGGUACCAUGAGUGUCAGAGCUAGGAUCAGAGGCCCUGACUUUGAAGGCAUCUUCCAGAGACAGAUGCUUUAGAGUCUGAACCGCCUGCUUAGUGACCAGCUGAUAUUCUCAAGUUCCAUCGAAACUCUAGCCUUGUAUUUCAGACCUCCAGGAGCAGAUUCUAAAUGGAACACAAUGAGAGAGCACCUCCACAUUUAAGAGUUUGGAGGAACUUUGUUCCCUUGGACUACAGGUGUCCUUAAAAUCUGUCUCCACUUUAAAAACCAGUGAAAAGGAAAGCCCUAGCUGAGGGGAGGAAUCCCAUUGAAUUCUAGUAUUACACAGUCAACCAUAACCAAGAGCUACUUCAGCUGCCAGGAGUAACCUUUCACUCCUAGUCUCCUAACAGCUGUUCUCAUUUGAGCUCCCCUCUGAGCUUAGUAGUUUCUAGUUCUGUGUAUCAAAGCUGUUACUAACAAGUAAUGGCAGCAGUUAGGGAGAAAGGCUAACUAUACUAGGAGGCCCGUAAAACUUUCCACCUUUAGGAGGGAGGAAUCGUGUUACUCUCACAUGUGAAAAUGACAACUGGUGUCCGUAUGAAUUGAAUCAAAAGCAGUUCAAAGUGAACUCCAAAGGCGAAGUUGAGAUCCAUAGAAAAAAACUUUGGUACAGCAGGUUCAAACCAUCAAUUACUUGGACAGCAGCUUCUUUCCAUGUUUACCAGAUGAAUAUCACUAAUAAUAAGAAAAUGACAAAUGAAAACAGUUGUAAAGAUUGAGCUCACAUCCAUCAGAUAAACAAAGAGAACAAAAUGUAGAAACAAUAAAUUACUAGACAGGCACAAUAAUACACUAAUCUUACUGAGAAGACAUCUAAUUUAUCCCUAUUACAAACAAUACUUCUUCUUGGUUUUAAAAAGAGACUAUAAUUUUUUAAAAACCUCUAUUUAUUCCUGUGCUUUCUGGGUUUUUUUUUUCUAGAAAUAGGUGUAUUUUCUCAAGUUUUUUUUGUAUCUAUUGAGAUAAUCACAUGAUUUUUGUUACUUUUGUUAUUAAUAUGAUCAUUUAUGCUAAAAGUUUUCCCAAUAUUGAAUAAGCCUUACAUUCUUGAUAUAAAUCCAACCUGAUAAUAUAUGAAGUUUCUGAAAUAUUGCUAUAAUCUCCUCACUAGUAUUUUAUUUAAAAUUUUUGAAUCAAUACUCAAUAGGAAGGUAUGAGCAACAUAUUUCUGUAGUAAAAUGAAAUUUGGUAGGAUAACUUCUUUGCCUAUUUUUCCAAAGAGUUUAAAUAGUAUUAGAAUUAAUUCUUUUUUAAAAUGAUUGUUAGAAUACACAUAUGAAUCAAAUUGUUCCUAAGGACUUUUUAUGUGCCCAUUGAUGGCAUGUUAAAAUUUCUUUGUCUAACAUAGAGUUAUUUAAGAAUUCCAUUUCCCAUUCUGUUAAUUUGGGCAAUUUUAUAUUUAUUGGGUCAAUUUUUAACUUCUAAUUUUAUCAAUCCUUUGUUUUUUUAAGAUUUCUAUAAUAACAUUUAAUAAAAAGUUUUUUUUUAAUAAUCUUUUUCUGUUUUCUUUUUAACUAUAAGCCCAAUUCAUUGUUCUGCUUUUUUCUUUUUUAUUAUUAUAAGCAUUUAGAGAUAUAAUUAUUUUCCUAAGGAAAAUAAAUAUUUUCCUAUUUUUCCAACUUUGGCUACAUUCCAGAAAUUUUGGUACAUUGUCUCAUUGUUAUUACUAUUCUUUAAUGAAUUUAUUGGUUCUAUGGUCCACCCAAUUUUUAGGACUUUUGUGUUUCCAAUUGAUGUUUAACCUAGGCUUCCAAAGGUCUUUAUUGAACAAAAUGUUUACUAUUUUAUGGUACCAAAAGAGUACAUAUGCCAUUUCUGAUUUUCUGUAGUUUAGUGAGGUUUUUAUGCCUUCUAUGGUAAGUUUCUUGAGGAUAACUAUAUGUAGCUUCUAUAUUCCCAAUCAGUUUUCUCCAGAGGUCUAUGAAAUCUAACUUUUCUAAUAUUCUAUUCAUCUCCUUAACUUGUUUCUUAUUUAUUUUAUUGCUAGAUGUAAUUAGUUCUAAGUGGUAAACUGAGGUUCCCCACUAGUAAACUUAUAAUAUUUCCUCCUCUAACUCAAUAUCCCUUGAGGAUCUAGAAUCUAUUCAAUUUGAUACUUACGUUUUAGUAUUGGUAUUACAUCAUUAUCUAUGAUACCUGUUAAUGAAAUGGAGUUUCCCUGGCUAUCUCAUUUAGUUGGGGAUAUUUUUGUUUUUGCUUCAUUUGAGAUCCUAAUUCUAAUGCCUACCCUACUAAGCUCAUCAGAAGCAAAAUAGAUUCUGCUUUAGCACCUUAUUUUAACUCUUAUGUGUUUUUCUGUUCCAUGUAUGUUUCCUGUAAACAACAUAUUUGUUGGAUUCUCUUAUCUUAAUUUAUUAUGUUUUCUGCUUCCAUUUUAUGGCUGAGUUCAUCCCAUUCCCAGUUAUGAUCAAUAACUAUUACCCUACAUCCUAUUUUUUAUCAUACUCUUUUUAAAAUUCUAUCCCUCUUCUAAACUCUAUUCUGCUUCUUAGAACUACCUCCUUUAAUGCCAUCAAAGCAAAGCUGCAGGAGGAACUUUUGCUUCCUUAUAGUGGCAAGUGCAUGUCUUCUCCCUGGAGCUACAACAGGGACUUCUGGUUACUUGUGAUGGCAAGUGCUCCUCUUCACCCUGUCGCUAUAGCAGGGAAUUCUGGUUAGGUGUGAUGGGACUGCUCUUAUUUACCCCUGGAACAGCAGCAGGGACUUCUCGUAACUUUUGAUGGCAACUGCACCUCUUCACCCUCGAGUGGCAUCAGAAAAUUCUGGUUACUUGUGAUGGCAAGUUUUCCUCUUCACCCUGGAGCAAUAGCCGGGACGUCGAGUAAAGUGUGAUGGCAAGUGUUCCUCUUCACCCUGUCACUAUAGCAGGGAAUUCUGGUUACGUGUGAUGGGACUGCUCUUAUUUACCCCUGGAACAGCAGCAGGGACUUCUCGUAAUUUUUGAUGGCACCUCUUCACCCUCGAGUGGCAUCAGGAAAUUCUGGUUACUUGUGAUGGCAAGUUUUCCUCUUCACCCUGGAGCAAUGGCCGGGACUUCGAGUAAAGUGUGAUGGCAAGUGUUCCUCUUCACCCUGGACCUGCAGCAGGAACUUCAAGUAAUUUGUGAUGGCAACUGUUGUUCUUCACCCUGGAGCUGCAGGAGGGACUUCUGCUUACUUGUGAUGGCAAGUGUUCGUCUUCACCCUGGAGCUGCUACAGGGACUUCUGGUUACUUGUGGUGAAAUGUGUACCUCUUCAGCCAGGAGCUGCAGCAGGGACUUCUGGUAACUUGGGAUCACAAGUGUUCCUCUUCACCCUGGAGCUACAGCAGGGACUUCUGGUUACUUGUGAUGACAAGUGUUCGUCUUCACCCUGGAGCUGCAGCAGGAACUGCUGGUAUCUUGUGAUGGCAAGUAUUCCUCUUCACACUGGAGCGUCAGCAGGGACUUCUGGCACCUUGUAAUGGCAACUAUUGUUCUUCACCCUGGAGCAGCAGCAGGGACUUCUGGUAACUUGUGAUGGCAAGUGUUCCUCUUCACCUUGGAGCAGCAGCAGGGACUUCUGGCAACUUGUAAUGGCAACUAUUGUUCUUCACCCUGGAGCAGCAACAGGGACUUCUGGUAACUUCUGAUGGCAAGUGUUCCUCUUCACCUAGGAGCAGCAGCAGGGACUUCUGGGUCCUUGUGGUCACAAGUGUUCCUCUUCACCCUGGAGCAGCAGCAGGGACUUCUGGCAAAUUGUGAGGGCAACUGUUGUUCUUCACCCUGGAGUAGCAGCAGGGACUUCUGGUAACUUGUGAUGGCAACUGUUCCUCUUCACCCUGGAGCUGCAGCAGGAACUUCUGGUAUCUUGUGAUGGCAAGUAUUCCUCUUCACACUGGAGCGUCAGCAGGGACUUCUGGCACCUUGUAAUGGCAACUAUUGUUCUUCACCCUGGAGCAGCAGCAGGGACUUCUGGUAACUUGUGAUGGCAAGUGUUCCUCUUCACCUUGGAGCAGCAGCAGGGACUUCUGGCAACUUGUAAUGGCAACUAUUGUUCUUCACCCUGGAGCAGCAGCAGGGACUUCUGGUAACUUGUGAUGGCAAGUGUUGCUCUUCACCUAGGAGCAGCAGCAGGGACUUCUGGGUCCUUGUGGUCACAAGUGUUCCUCUUCACCCUGGAGCGGCAGCAGGGACUUCUGGCAAAUUGUGAGGGCAACUGUUGUUCUUCACCCUGGAGUAGCAGCAGGGACUUCUGGUAACUUGUGAUGGCAACUGUUCCUCUUCACCCUGGAGAUGCAGCAGGGACUCCUGGUAACUUGUGAUGGCAAGUGUUCCUCUUCACCCUGGAGCAGCAGCAGGGACUUCUGGUAACUUGUGAUGGCAAGUAUUCCUCUUCACCCUGGAGCGUCAGCAGGGACUUCUGGUUACUUGUCAUCACAAGUGUUCCUCUUCACCCUGGAGCAGCAGCAGGGACUUCUGGCAACUUGUGAUGGCAACUGUUGUUCUUCACCCUAGAGCAGCAGGAGGGACUUGUGGUUACUUUUGGAGGCAAGUGCUUUUCUUCACACUGGACCUGCAGCUGUGAUGUCCAGUUAUUGGUGAUAGUAAGUGUUCUUCUUCAAAUGGGUACUGCAGCUUGGACCUCUGCUUGGUUGUGAUGGCAAAGGCCUCUCUCCAUCUUGGAGCUGCAGCUGAGACAGCUGCUUGGUUGUGAUGGAAAAGUUGUCUCUGCAUCCUGGAACUGCAGCUGAGACCUCUGCUUUCUUCUGAUAGCAAAGGCCUCUCUCCACCACUGAGCUGUAGCUGAGACCUCUGCUUUGUUUUGAUAGAAAAGGCCUCUCUCCCUCCCUAAUCUGCAGCUGGGUCCACUGCAUUUUUAUUGGGGUAAUUGGUCUUCAUCACCCGGUAGCUACAGGAAAGAUUUCUGGUAACUUUUGAUGGCAAAUGGUCCUAUUCACCCUGGAGCUACAGCAGGGACUUCUGGCAACUUAUGAUGACAAGUCUUGCUCUUCAACCUGGAGCGGCAGCAGGGACUUCUGGGUACUUGUGGUAACAAGUGUUCCUCUUCACCCUGGAGCUACAGCAGGGACUUCUGGAUACUUUUGAUGACAAGUGUUCCUCUUCACCCUGGAGCUGCAGCAGGAACUUCUGGUAUCUUGUGAUGGCAAGUAUUCCUCUUCACACUGGAGCGUCAGCAGGGACUUCUAGUUGCUUGUGGUCACAAGUGUUCCUCUUCACCCUGGAGCAACAGCAGGGACUUCUGGCAACUUGUAAUGGGAACUGUUGUUCUUCACCCUGGAGCAGCAGCAGGGACUUUGGGGUACUUGUGGUCACAAGUGUUCCGCUUCACCCUGGAGCAGCAGCAGGGACUUCUGGCAACUUGUGAUGGCAACUUUUGUUCUUCACCCUGGAGUAGCAGCAGGGACUUCGGGGUACUUGUGGUCACAAGUGUUCCCUUUACCCUGGAGCUACAGCAGGGACUUCUGGUUACUUGUGAUGACAAGUGUUCGUCUUCACCCUGGAGAUGCAGCAGGAACUUCUGGUCAUUUGUGGUGUCAAGUUCUUUUUGUCACACUGGACAUACAGCUGGGACGUCUAAUUAUUGGUGAUAGGAAGUGUUCUUCUUCAAACAGGAGCUGCAGCUUGGACUUCUGCUUAGUGUUGAUGGCAAAGGCCUCUCUCCAUCUUGGAGCUGAAGCUGAGACAGCUUCUUGGUUGUGAUGGCAAAAGCCUCUCUCCACCCCGGAGCUGUAGCUGAAACCUCUGCUUUAUUUUGAUAGAAAAGGCCUCUCUCCACCCCUAAUCUGCAGCUGCGUCCUCUGCAUUUUUCUUGGGGUAAUUGGUCUUCUUCACCCAGUAGCUACAGGAAAGAUUGCUGGUAACUUUUGAUGGCAAAUGUUCCUAUUCACCCUGGAGCUGCAGCAGGAACAUCUGGUAAAUUGUGAUGGCAAGUGUUCCUCUUCAUCCUGGAGCUGCAACAGGGACAUACGGUAAGUUUGAUGGCAAGUAUUGCUCUUCACCCUGGAACGUCACCAGGGAUUUCUGGUUACUUGUCGUCACAAGUGUUCCUCUUCACCCUGGAGCAGCAGCAGGGACUUCUGGGUACAUUUGGUCACAAGUGUUCCUCUUCACCCUGGAGCAGCAGCAGGGACUUCUGGUAACUUGGGAUCACAAGUGUUCCUCUUCACCCUGGAGCUGAAACAGGGACUUCUGGUUACUUUUGAUGACAAGUGUUCGUCUUCACCCUGGAGCUGCAGCAGGAACUUCUGGUAUCUUGUGAUGCCAAGUAUUCCUCUUCACACUGGAGCGUCAGCAGGGACUUCUGGCAACUUGUAAUGGCAACUAUUGUUCUUCACCCUGGAGCAGCAGCAGGGACUUCUGUUAACUUGUGAUGGCAAGUGUUCCUCUUCACCUAGGAGCAGCACCAGGGACUUCUGGGUCCUUGUGGUCACAAGUGUUCCUCUUCACCCUGGAGCAGCAGCAGGGACUUCUGGCAACUUGUGAGGGCAACUGUUGUUCUUCACCCUGGAGUAGCAGCAGGGACUUCUGGUAAUUUGUGAUGGCAACUGUUCCUCUUCACCCUGGAGAUGCAGCAGGGACUCCUGGUAACUGGUGAUGGCAAGUGUUCCUCUUCACCCUGGAGCAGCAGCAGGGACUUCUGGGUAUUUGUGGUCAAAAGUUUUCCCCUUCACCCUGGAGCAGCAGCAGGGACUUCUUGCAACUUGUGAUGGCAACUGUUGUUCUUCACCCUAGAGCAGCAGGAGGGACUUCUGGUUACUUUUGGAGGCAAGUGCUUUUUUUCACACUGGACCUGCAGCUGUGAGGUCCACUUAUUGGUGAUAGGAAGUGUUCUUCUUCAAACGGGAGCUGCAGCUUGGACCUCUGCUUGGUUGUGAUGGCAAAGGCCUCUCUCCACCCCUAAGCUGCAGUUGGGACGUCUGCGUAGUUGUGAUGGCAAAGGCCUCAUUCUAUCCUGGAGCGGUAUAUGACACCUCUGCUAGGUUAUAAUAGCAAAGACCUCUGUCCAACCCAGAGCUGCAACUGAGACCUCUGAUUUGUUAUGAUAUCAAAGGCCUCUCUCCACCCCUAAGCUGCAGCUGUGUCUUCUGCAUUUUUCUUAGGGAAAUUGGUCUUCUUCACCCACUAGCUUCAGGAAAGAUUUCUGGUAACACCGAAAUUGGUCUUCUUCACCCAUUAUGUUCAGGAAAGAUUUCUGGUAACAUUUCAUGGCACGUGGUCCUCUUCACCUUGGUGCAGAAGCAGGGACUUUAGGCAACUUGUAAUGUAAACUGUUGUUCUUCACCCUGGAGGUACAGCAGGGACUUCUGGUAACUUGUGAUGGCAAGUGUUGCUCUUCACCCUGGAGCUGCAGCAGGGACUUCUGGUAACUUGUGAUGGCAAGUAUUCCUCUUCACCCUGGAGCGUCAGCAGGGACUUCUGGUUACUUGUCAUCACAAGUGUUCCUCUUCACCCUGGAGCAGCAGCAGGGACUUCUGGCAACUUGUGAUGGCAACUGUUAUUCUUCACCCUAGAGCAGCAGGAGGGACUUCUGGUUACUUUUGGAGGCAAGUGCUUUUCUUCACACUGGACCUGCAGCUGUGAUGUCCAGUUAUUGGUGAUAGUAAGUGUUCUUCUUCAAAUGGGAGCUGCAGCUUGGACCUCUGCUUGGUUGUGAUGGCAAAGGCCUCUCUCCAUCUUGGAGCUGCAGCUGAGACAGCUGCUUGGUUGUGAUGGAAAAUUUGUCUCUGCAUCCUGGAACUGCAGCUGAGACCUCUGCUUUCUUCUGAUAGCAAAGGCCUCUCUCCACCACUGAGCUGUAGCUGAGACCUCUGCUUUGUUUUGAUAGAAAAGGCCUCUCUCCCCCCCUAAUCUGCAGCUGGGUCCACUGCAUUUUUCUUGGGGUAAUUGGUCUUCAUCACCCGGUAGCUACAGGAAAGAUUUCUGGUAACUUUUGAUGGCAAAUGGUCCUAUUCACCCUGGAGCUACAGCAGGGACUUCUGGCAACUUAGGAUGACAAGUCUUGCUCUUCAACCUGGAGCGGCAGCAGGGACUUCUGGGUACUUGUGAUAACAAGUGUUCCUCUUCACCCUGGAGCUACAGCAGGGACUUCUGGAUACUUUUGAUGACAAGUGUUCCUCUUCACCCUGGAGCUGCAGCAGGAACUUCUGGUAUCUUGUGAUAGCAAGUAUUCCUCUUCACACUGGAGCGUCAGCAGGGACUUCUAGUUGCUUGUGGUCACAAGUGUUCCUCUUCACCCUGGAGCAACAGCAGGGACUUCUGGCAACUUGUCAUGGGAACUGUUGUUCUUCACCCUGGAGCAGCAGCAGGGACUUCUGGCAACUUGUGAUGGCAACUUUUGUUCUUAACCCUGGAGUAGCAGCAGGGACUUCUGGUAACUUGUGAUCACAAGUGUUCCUCUUCACCCUGGAGCUACAGCAGGGACUUCCGGUAACUUGUGAUGGCAAGUGUUGCUCUUCACCCUGGAGCUGCAGCAGGGACUUCUGGGAACUUGUGAUGGCAACUGUUGUUCUUCACCCUAGAGCAGCAGGAGGGACUUCUGGUUACUUUUGGAGGCACGUGCUUUUCUUCACACUGGAACUGCAGCUGUGAUGUCCACGUAUUGGUGAUAGGAAGUGUUCUUCUUCAAACGGGAGCUGCAGCUUGGGCCUCUGCUUGGUUGUACUGGCAAAGGCCUCUCUCCACCACUAAGCUGCAGCUGUGUCUUCUGCAUUUUUCUUAGGGAAAUUGGUCUUCUUCACCCAGUAGCUUCAGGAAAGAUUUCUAGAAACAUUUCAUGGCACGUGGUCCUCUUCACCUUGGAACAGCAGCAGGGACUUUAGUCAACUUGUAAUGGAAACUGUUAUUCUUCACCCUAGAGCAGCAGCAGGGACUUCUGGUAACUUGUGAUCACAUGUGUUCCUCUUCACCCUGGAGCUACAGCAGGGACUUCUGGUAACUAUUGAUGGCAAGUGUUGCUCUUCACCCUGGAACUGCAGCAGGGACUUCUGGUAACUUGUGAUGGCAAGUGUUGCUCUUCACCCUGGAGCUGCAGCAGGGACUUCUAGUAACUUGUAAUGGCAAGUAUUCCUCUUCACCCUGUAGCGUCAGCUGGGACUUCUGGCAACUUAUGAUGGCAAAUGUUGUUUUUCACCCUGGAGCAGCAGGAGGGACUUCUCAUUACUUGUGGAGGCAAGUUCUUUUCUUCACACUGGACCUGCAGCUGGGACAUCUACUUAUUGGUGAUAGGAAGUGUUCUUCUUCAAACGGGAGGUGCAGCUUGGACUUCUGCUUAGUUGUGAUGGCAAAGGCCUCUCUCCAUCUUGGAGCUGCAGCUGAGACAGCUUCUUGGUUGUGAUGGCAAAGGUGUCUCUACUUCCUAGAACUGCAGCUGAGACCUGUGCUUAGUUGUGAUGGCAAAGGCCUCUCUCCACCCCUAAGCUGCAGUUGAGACGUCUGCGUAGUUGUGAUGGCAAAGGCCUCGUUCUAUCCUGAAAUGGUAAAUGAGACCUCUGCUAGGUUGCGAUAGCAAAGACCUCUGUCCAACCCAGAGCUGCAACUGAGACCUCUGAUUUGUUAUGAUAUCAAAGCCUUCUCUCUCCACCCCUAAGCUACAGCUGUAUCUUCUGCAUUUUUCUUAGGGAAUUUGGUCUUCUUCACCCACUAGCUUCAGGAAAGAUUUCUAGUAACCUUUCAUGGCACGUGGUCCUCUUCACCUUGGAGCAGCAGCAGGGACUUCAGGCAACUUGUAAUGGAAACUGUUGUUCUUCACGCUGAAGCAGCAGGAGGGACUUCUGGUAACUUGUGAUCACAAGUGUUCCUCUUCACCCUGGACCUACAGCUGUGACUUCUGGUACCUUGUGAUGGCAAGUGUUCCUCUUCACCUGGGAGCAGCAGCAGGUACUUCAGGCAACUUGUAAUGGCAACUGUUGUUCUUCACCCUGGAGCAGCAGCAGGGAUUUCUGGGUACUUGUGGUCACAAGUCAUCCUCUUCGCCUUGGAGCAGCAGCAGGGACUUCUGGUAACUUGUGAUCACAAGUGUUCCUCUUCACCCUGGAGCUACAUCAGGGACUUCUGGUAACUUGUGAUGGCAAGUGUUCCUCCUCACCUUGGAGCAGCAGCAGGGACUUCAGGCAAUUUGUAAUGGUAACUGUUGUUCUUCACCCUGGAGCAGCAGCAGGGACUUCUGGUUACUUGUGAUGACAACUGUUGUUCUUCACCCUGGAGUAGCAGCAGGGACUUCUGCUUACAUGUUAUGUUAACUGUUGUUCUUCACCCUGGAGCAGUACCAGGGACUUCUGGUUACUUGUGGUGGCAAGAUCUUUUUGUCACACUGGACAUGCAACUGGGACGUAUAGUUAUGGGGAAUAUGAAGUGUUUUUCUUCAAACGGGAGGUGCAGCUUGGACUUCUGCUUAGUUGUGAUAGCAAAGGCCUACAUCCAUCCUUAAGCUGCAGCUGGGACAUCUAUGUAGUUGUGAUGGAAAACGCCUCUCUCCAUCUUGGAGCUGCAGCUGAGAUCUCUGCUUUGUUUUGAUAGAAAAGGCCUCUCUCCACCCUUAAUCUGCAGCUGCGUCCUCUGCAUUUUUCUUGGGGUAAUUGGUCUUCUUCACCCAGUAGCUACAGGAAAGAUUUCUGGUAACCUUUGAUGGCAAGUGUUGCUCUUCACCCUGGAGCUGCAGCAGGGACAUCUGGUAACUUGUGAUGGCAAGUAUCCCUCUUCAACCUAGAGCGUCAGCAGGGACUUCUGGUUACUUGUCGUCACAAGUGUUCCUCUUCACCCUGGAGCAGUAGCAGGGGCUUCUGGCAAAUUGUGAUGGCAACAGUUGUUCUUCACUCUGGAGCAGCAGGAGGGACUUCUCGAUACUUGUGGAGGCAAGUUCUUUUCUUUACACUGGACCUGCAGCUGUGAUGUCCAGUUAUUGGUGAUAGGAAGGGUUCUUCUUCAAACAGGGGCUGCAGCUUGGACCUCUGCUUUGUUGUGAUGGCAAAGGCCUCUCUCCACCCCUAAGCUGCAGCUGCGUCUUCUGCAUUUUUGUUAGGGAAUUUGGUCGUCUUCACCUAGUAGCUUCCGGUAAGAUUUCUAGUAACAUUUCAUGGCAGGUGGUCUUCUUCACCUUGGAGCAGCAGCAGGGACUUCAGGGAACUUGUAAUGGAAACUGUUGUUCUUCACCCUGGAGGUACAGCAGGGACUUCUGGGUACUUAUGGUCACAAGUGUUCGUCUUUACCCUGGACCUGCAGCAGGAACUUCUGGUAACAUGUGAUGACAAGUAUUCCUCUUCACCCUAGAGCGUCAGCAGGGAAUUCUGGUUACUUGUGGUCACAAGUGUUCCUCUUCACCCUGCAGCAGCAGCAGGGACUUCUGGGUACUUGUGGUCACAAGUGUUCCUCUUCACCCUGCAGCAGCAGCAGGGACUUCUGGGUACUUUUGCUCACAAGUGUUCCUCUUCACCCUGGAGCUACAGCAGGGACUUCUGAUUACUUGUGAUGACAAAUGUUCGUCUUCACCCUGGAGCUGCAGCAGGGACUUCUGGUAACUUUUGAUGGCAACAGUUGUUCUUCACCCUGGAGCAGCAGGAGGGACUUCUCGAUACUUGUGGAGGCAAGUUCUUUUCUUUACACUGGACCUGCAGCUGUGAUGUCCAGUUAUUGGUGAUAGGAAGGGUUCUUCUUCAAACAGGAGCUGCAGCUUGGACCUCUGCUUGGUUGUGAUGGCAAAGGCCUCUCUCCACCCCUAAGCUGCAGCUGCGUCUUCUGCAUUUUUCUUAGGGAAUUUGGUCAUAUUCACCUAGUAGCUUCCGGUAAGAUUUCUAGUAACAUUUCAUGGCAGGUGGUCUUCUUCACCUUGGAGCAGCAGCAGGGACUUCAGGGAACUUGUAAUGGAAACUGUUGUUCUUCACCCUGGAGCAGCAGCAGGGACUUCUGGGUACUUAUGGUCACAAGUGUUCGUCUUUACCCUGGACCUGCAGCAGGAACUUCUGGUAACAUGUGAUGACAAGUAUUCCUCUUCACCCUAGAGCAUCAGCAGGGAAUUCUGGUUACUUGUGGUCACAAGUGUUCCUCUUCACCCUGCAGCAGCAGCAGGGACUUCUGCGUACUUUUGCUCACAAGUGUUCCUCUUCACCCUGGAGCUACAGCAGGGACUUCUGAUUACUUGUGAUGACAAAUGUUCGUCUUCACCCUGGAGCUGCAGCAGGGACUUCUGGUAACUUUUGAUGGCAAGUGUUCCUCUUCACCUGGGAGCUGCAGGAGGGACUUUUGGUUACUUGUGAUCACAUGUGUUCCUCUUCACCCUGGAGCAACAGCAGGGACUUCUGGCAACUUGUGAUGGUAACUGUUGUUCUUAACCAUGGAGUAGCAACAGGGAUUUCUGGGUACUUGUGGUCACAAGUGUUCCUCUUCACCCUGAAGCAGCAGCAGGGACUUCAGGUUACAUGUUAUGUUAACUAUUGUUCUUCACCCUGGAGUAGCACCAGGGAUUUCUGGCAACUUGUGAUGGCAAAUAUUGUUUUUCACCCUGGAGCAGCAGGAGGGACUUUUGGUUACUUGUGGAGGCAAGUUCUUUUCUUCACACUGGACCUGCAGCUGGGACAUUUAGUUAUUGGUGAUAGGAAGUAUUCUUCAAAUGGGAGGUGCAGCUUGGACCUCUGCUUAGUUGUGAUGGCAAAGGCCUCGUUCUAUCCUGGAGCGGUAAAUGAGACCUCUGCUACGUUGUGAUAGCAAAGACCUCUGUCCAACCCAGAGGUGCAACUGCGACCUCUGAUUUGUUGUGCUAUCAAAGGCCUCUCUCGACCCGUAAGCUGCAGCUGUGUCUUCUGCAUUUUUCUUAGGGAAUUUAGUCUUCAUCACCUAGUAGAUUUAGAAAAGAUUUCAGGGCACAUGGUCCUCUUCACCUUGGAACAGCAGCAGGGACUUUAGUCAACUUGUAAUGGAAACUGUUAUUCUUCACCCUAGAGCAGCAGCAGGGACUUCUGGGUACUUGUGAUGACAAGUGUUCCUCAUCACCUUGGAGCUACCACCGGGACUUCUGCUAACUUCUGAUAGCAAGAGUUCCUCUUCACGUUGGAAAAGCUACAAGGACUUCAGGCAACUUGUAAUGGCAACUAUUGUUCGUCACCCUGGAGCAGCAGCAGGGACUUCUGGGUACUUGUGAUUACAGCUGUUCGACUUCACCCUGGAGCUGCAGCAGGGACUUCUGGUUACUUGUGAUGAUAAGUGUUCGUCUUCACCCUCGAGCAGCAGCAGGGACUUCUGGCAACUUGUGAUGGCAACUGUUGUUCUUCACCAUGGAGUAGCAGCAUGGACUUCUGGUUAUAUGUUAUGUUAACUGUUGUUCUUCACCCUGGAGCAGCACCAGGGAUUUCUGGUUACUUGUGUUGGGAAGUUCUUUUUGUCACACUGGACAUGCAGCUGGGACGUCUAGUUAUUGGUGAUAGGAAGUGUUCUUCUUCAAAGGGGUAACUGCAGCUUCGACCUUUACUUGGUUGGGAUGGCAAAGGCCUCUCUCCACCCCUAAGCUGCAGUUGGGACGUCUGCGUAGUUGUGAUGGCAAAGGCCUCGUUUUGUCCUGGAGCAGUAAAUGAGACCUCUGCUAGGUUGUGAUGGCAAAGACCUCAGUCCAACCAAGAGCUGCAACUGAGACCUUUGAUUUGUUGUGAUAUCAAAGGACUCUCUACACCUCUAAGCUCCAGCUGUGUCUUCUGCAUUUUUCUUAGGGAAUUUGGUCUUCUUCAUCCAGUAGCUUCAGGAAAGAUUUCUGGUAACAUUUCAUGGCACGUGGUCCUCUUCACCUUGGAGCAGCAGCAGGGACUUCAGGCAACUUGUAUUGGCAACUGUUGUUCUUCACCCUGGAGCAGCAGCAGGGACUUCUGGGUACUUGUGGUCACAAGUGUUCCUCUUCACCCUGGAGCUACAGCAGGGACUUCUGGUUACUUGUGAUGACAAUUGUUCGUCUUCACCCUGGAGCAGCAGCAGAGACUUUGGGAUACUUGUGGUCACAAGUGUUCUUCUUCACCCUGGAGCAGCAACAGGGACUUCUGGGUACUUCUGUUCACAAAUGUUCCUCUUCACCCUGGAACUAAUGCACGGACUUCUGGUUACUUGUGAUCAAAAGUGUUUGUCGUCACCCUGGACCAGCAGCAGGGACUUCUGGCAACAUGUGAUGGCAACUGUUGUUCUUCACCCUGGAGCAGCAGCAGGGAUUUCUCGUUACUUGUGAUGGCAAGUGUUCCUCUUCACCCUGGAGCUGCAGCAAGGACUUCUGGUUACUUGUGGUCACAAGUGUUCCUCUUCACCCUGGAGGUGCAGCAGGGACUUCUGGCAACUUGUAAUGGCAACUGUUUUUCUUCACCCUGGUGCAGCAGCAGGGACUUCUGCGUACUUGUGGUCACAAGUGUUCCUCUUCACCUUGGAGCGGCAGCAGGGACUUCAGGCAACAUGUGAUGGCAACAGUUGUUCUUUGCCCUCGAGCAGUAGCAGGAAUUAGGGGUAUUUAUGGUCGCAAUUAUUCCUCUUCACCCUGGAGCUUAAGAAGGGACUUCUGACAACAUGUGAUGGCAAGUGUUCCUCUUCACCGUGGAGCUGCAGCAGGGACUUCUGGCAAGUUGUGAUGGCAAGUGUUCCUCUUCACCCUGGAGCAGCAGGAGGGACUUCUGGCUACUUGUGUUGACUAGUGUUCCUCUUCACCCUGGAGUGGCAGCAGGGACUUCAGGGUAACUUGUGAUGGCAACAGUUGUUCUUUGCCCUUGAGCAGCAGCAGGGAUUCUGGGUACUUGUGGUCACAAGUAUUCCUCGUCACCCUGGAGAUGCAGCAGGGACUUCUGGUUCCUUGUGGUGGCAAGUUCUUUUCGUCAAACUGGACCUACAGGUGGGACGUCCAGUUAUUGGAGAUAGGAAGUGUUCUUCAAACAGGAGCUACAGCUUGGACCUCUGCUUAGUUGUGAUGGGAAUGGCCUCCUUCCACCCAUAAGCUGCAGCUGGCACAUCUAUGUAGUUGUGAUGGCAAAGGCCUCUCUCAACCCUAAGCUUCAGCUCUGUCCUAUGCAUUUUUCUUAGGGCAAUUGGUCUUCUUCACCCAGUAGUUACAGGAAAGAUUUCUGCUAACAUUUGAUGGCAAGUGGUCCUCUUCAACCUGGAGCAGCAGCAGGGAUUUCUGGUUACUUGUGAUGACAAGUGUUUCUCUUCACCCUGUAGCGGCUUCAGGGACUUCUGGUUACUUGGGGUCACAAGUGUUCCUCUUCACCCUGGAGCAGCAGCAGGGACUUCUGGUAAGUUGACCUGGCAAGUGUUCCUCUAUACGCUGGAGCUGCAGCAGGGACUUCGGGUAAGUUGUGCUGGCAAGUGUUCCUCUUCACCCUAGAGCAGCAGCAGGGACUUCUGGUAAAUUGACCUGGCAAUUGUUCCUCUAUACCCUGGAGCUGCAGCAGGGACUUCUGGUAAGUUGUGCUGGCAAGUGUUCCUUUUCAACCUAGGGCAGCAGCAGGGAUUUCUGGUUACUUGUGAUGACAAGUGUUUCUCUUCACCCUGUAGCGGCAGCAGGGACUUCUGGUUACUUGGGGUCACAAGUGUUCCUCUUCACCCUGGAGCAGCAGCAGGGACCUCUGGGUACUUGUGGUCACAACUUUUCCUCUUCACCCUGGAGCUACAGCAGGGCCUUCUGGUAACUUUUGAUGGCAAGUUGUUCCUCUUCACCUUGGAGCUGCAGGAGGGACUUUUGGUUACUUGUGAUCACAAGUGUUCCUCUUCACCCUGGAGGUACAGCAGGGACUUCUGAUUACUUGUGAUGGCAACUGUUGUUCUUCACCAUGGAGUAGCAGCAGGGAUUUCUGGGUACUUGUGGUCACAAGUGUUCCUCUUCACCCUGAAGCAGCAGCAGGGACUUCUGGCAACUUGUGAUGGCAAAUAUUGUUUUUCACCCUGGAGCAGCAGGAGGGACUUCUUGUUACUUGUGGAGGCAAGUUCUUUUCUUCACACUGGACCUGCAGCUGGGACAUUUAGUUAUUGGUGAUAGGAAGUGUUCUUCAAACAGGAGGUGCAGCUUGGACCUCUGCUUAGUUGUGAUGGCAAAGACCUCUCUCCACCCCUAAGCUGGAGUUGGGAAGUCUGCGUAGUUGUGAUGGCAAAGGCCUCGUUCUAUCCUGGAGCGGUAAAUGAGACCUCUGCUAGGUUGUGAUAGCAAAGACCUCUGUCCAACCCAGAGGUGCAACUGCGACCUCUGAUUUGUUGUGCUAUCAAAGGCCUCUCUCCACCCGUAAGCUGCAGAUGUGUCUUCUGCAUUUUUCUUAGGGAAUUUAAUCUUCAUCACCCAGUAGUUUCAGAAAAGAUUUCAGGGCACGUGGUCCUCUUCACCUUGGAGCAGCAGCCGGGACUUCUGGUAACUUGUGAUGGCAAGAGUUCCUCUUCACCUUGGAAAAGCUGCAGGGACUUCAGGCAACUUUUAAUGGCAACUAUUGUUCGUCACCCUGGAGCAGCAGCAGGGACUUCUGGGUACUUGUGAUGACAACUGUUCGUCUUCACCCUGGAGCUGCAGCAGGGAACUCUGGUUACUUGUGAUGACAAGUGUUUGUCUUCACCCUCGAGCAGCAGCAGGGACUUCGGCAAGUUGUGAUGGCAACUGUUGUUCUUCACCCUGGAGCAGCACCAGGGAUUUCUGGUUACUUGUGUUGGCAAGUUCUUUUUCUCACACUGGACAUGCAGCUGGGACGUCUAGUUAUUGGUGAUAGGAAGUGUUCUUCUUCAAAGGGGAGCUGCAGCUUGGACCUUUACUUGGUUGGGAUGGCAAAGGCCUCUCUCCACCCCUAAGCUGCAGUUGGGACGUCUGCGUAGUUGUGAUGGCAAAGGCCUCGUUCUAUCCUGGAGCAGUAAAUGAGACCUCUGCUAGGUUGUGAUAGCAAAGACCUCAGUCCAACCCAGAGCUGCAACUGAGACCUUUGAUUUGUUGUGAUAUCAAAGGCCUCUCUCCACCCCUAAGCUGCAGCUGUGUCUUCUGCAUUUUUCUUAGGGAAUUUGGUCUUCUUCACCCAGUAGCUUCAGGAAAGAUUUCUGGUAACAUUUCAUGGCACGUGGUCCUCUUCCCCCUGGAGCCGCAGCAGGGACUUCUGGUUACUUGUGAUGACAAUUGUUCGUCUUCACCCUGGAGCAGCAGCAGGGACUUCUGGGUACUUCUGUUCACAAGUGUUCCUCUUCACCCUGGAACUACAGCAGGGACUUCUGGUUACUUGUGAUCAAAAGUGUUCGUCGUCAACCUGGACCAACAGCAGGGACUUCUGGCAACAUGUGAUGGCAACUGUUGUUCUUCACCCUGGAGCAGCAGCAGGGAUUUCUCGUUACUUGUGAUGGCAAGUGUUCCUCUUCACCCUGGAGCUGCAGCAGGGACUUUUGGUUACUUGUGGUCAGAAAUGUUCUUCUUCACCCUAGAGCUGCAGCAGGGACUUUUGGUUACUUGUGGUCAGAAGUGUUCCUCUUCACCCUGGAGCGGCAGCAGGGACUUCAGGCAACAUCUGAUGGCAACAGUUGUUCUUCGCCCUCGAGCAGCAGCAGGAAUUAGGGGUACUUAUGUUCGCAAUUAUUCCUCUUCACCCUGGAGCUUAAGAAGGGACUUCUGACAACAUGUGAUGGCAAGUGUUCCUCUUCACCCUGGAGCUGCAACAGGGACUUAUAAUAACUUGUGAUGGGAAGUGUUCCUCUUCACCCUGGAGAUGCAGAAGGGACUUCUGGCAAGUUGUGAUGGCAAGUGUUCCUCUUCACCCUGGAGCGGCAGUAGGGACUUCUGUUAAGUUGUGCUGGCAAGUGUUCCUCUUCAACCUGGAGCAGCAGCAGGGAUUGCUGGUUACUUGUGAUGAAAAGUGUUUCUCUUCACCCUGGAGCAGCAGCAGGGAUUUCUGGCUACUUGUGUUGACUAGUGUUCCUCUUCACCCUGGAGCGGCAGCAGGGACUUCAGGGUAACUUGUGAUGGCAACAGUUGUUCUUCACCCUUGAGCAGCAGCAGGGAUUCUGGGUACUUGUGGUGGCAAAUUCUUUUCGUCACACUGGACCUACAGGUGGGACGUCCAGUUAUUGGAGAUAGGAAGUGUUCCUCAAACGGGAGCUACAGCUUGGACCUCCGCUUAGUUGUGAUGGGAAUGGCCUACUUCCACCCAUAAGCUGCAGCUGGCACUUCUAUGUAGUUGUGAUGGCAAAGGCCUCUCUCAACCCUAAGCUGCAGCUGUGUCCUAUGCAUUUUUUUUAGGGCAAUUGGUCUUCUUCACCCAGUAGUUACAGGAACGAUUUCUGCUAACAUUCCAUGGCAAGUGGUCCUCUUCACCCUGGAGCUCCAGCAGGGACUUCUGCUUACUUGUGAUGACAAGUUUUUCUCUUCACCCAGCAGCGGCAGUAGGGACUUCUGGUUACUUGGGGUCACAAGUGUUCCUCUUCACCCUGGAGCAGCAGCAGGGACUUCUGGUAAGUUGUGCUGGCAAGUAUUCCUCUUCACCCUGGAGCAGCAGCAGGGACUUCUGGUAAGUUGUGUUGGCAAGUGUUCCUUUUCAGCCUAGGGCAGCAGCAGGGAUUUCUGGUUACUUGUGAUGACAAGUGUUUCUCUUCACCCUGUAGCGGCAGCAGGGACUUCUGGUUACUUGGGGUCAUAAGUGUUCCUUGUCACCCCAGAGCAGCAGCAGGCACUUCUGGGUACUUGUGGUCACACGUGGUCUUCUUCACCCUGGAGCUACAGCAAGGAGCUACAACUUUCUGGUAAGUUGUGCUGGCAAGUGUUCCUCUUCACCCUGGAGCUGUAGCAGGGACUUCUGGUAAGUUGUGCUGGCAACUGUUCCUCUUCACCCUGGAGCUGUAGUAGGGACUUCUGGUUACUAGUGGUGGCAAGUUCUUUUUGUCACAAUGGACCUGCAGCUGGGACAUCAAGUUAUUGGUGAUAGGAAGUGUUCUUCUUCAAACGGUUGCUGCAGCUUGGACCUCUGUUUAGUUGUGAUGGCCAAGGGGUCUCUCCACUUCUAAGCUACACUUGGGCCAUCUGCGUAGUUCUGAUGGCAAAGGGCUCAUUCUCUCCUGGAGCGAUAAAUGAGACCUCUACUUUGUUUUGAUAGCAAAGACCUCUCUCCACCCCUAAGCUGCAGCUGCGUCCUCUGCAUUUUUCUUAGGGAAAUUGGUCUUCUUCACCCAGUAGCUACAGGAAAGAUUUCUGGUAACUUUUGAUGGCAAGUGGUCCUGUUCACCCUGUAGCUGCAGCAGGGACUUCUGGUAACUUGUGAUGGCAAGUGGUCCUCUUCACCCUGGAGCUGCUGCAGGGACUUCUGGUAACUUGUGAUGGCAAGUGUUCCUCUUCACCCUGGAGCUGUAGCAGGGACUUCUGGUAACUUGUGAUGGCAAGUGUUCAUCUUCACCCUGGAGCAGCAGCAGGGACUUCUUAUAACUUGUGAUGGCAACUGUUGUUCUUCACCCUGGAGCAGCAUCAAGGACUUCUGUUAACUUGUGAUGGCAAGUGUUACUCUUCACCCUGGAGCAGCAUCAAGGACUUCUGUUAACUUGUGAUGGCAAGUGUUACUCUUCACCCUGGAGCUGCAGCAGGGACUUCUGUUAACUUGUGAUGGCAAGUCUUCCUCUUCACUGUGGAGCAGCAGCAGGGACUUCUGGUUACUUGUGGUGGAAAGUUCUUUUCGUCACACUGGACCUGCAACUGUGACUUACAGUUGUUGGUGAUAGGAAGUGUUAUUCUUCAAAUGGGCGCUGCAGCUUAGACCUCUGCUUAGUUGUGAUGGCAAAGGCCUCCCUCCACCCAUAAGCUGCAGCUGGGACAUCUGUGUAGUUGUGAUUGCAAAGGCCUCUCUCCAUCGUGGAGCUGCAGCUGAGACAGUUUCUUUGUUGUGAUGGCAAAGGCCUCUCUACACCCUAAGCUGCAGCUGCAUCCUCUGCAUUUUUCUUAGGGCAACUGGUCUUCUUCUCCCAGUAGCUGCAGGACAGAUUUCUGGUAACUUUUGAUGGCAAGUGGUCCUCUUCACCCGGGAGCUGCAGCAGGGACUUCUGGUAACUUGUGAUGGCAAAUGUUCAUCUUCACUCUGGAUAAGCAGCAGGGACUUCUUGUAACUUGUGAUGGCAAGUGUUCCUCUUCACCCUGGAACUGCAGAAGGGACUUCUGGUAAGUUGUGCUGGCAAGUAUUCCUCUUCACCCUGGAGCAGCAGCAGGGACUUCUGGUAAGUUAUGCUGGCAAGUGUUCCUCUUCACCCUGGAGCAGCAGCAGGGACUUCUGGUAAGUUGACCUGGCAAGUGUUCCUCUAUACCCUGGAGCUGCAGCAGGGACUUCUGGUAAGUUGUGCUGGCAAGUGUUCCCUUUCACCCUGGAGCAGCAGCAGGGACUUCUGGUUACUUGGCGUCAUAAGUGUUCCUCGUCACCCUAGAACAGCAGCAGGGACUUCUGGGUACUUGUGGUCACACGUGGUCUUCUUCACCCUGGAGCUACAGCAAGGAUUUCUGGUAAGUUGUGCUGACAAGUGUUCCUCUUCACCCUGGAGCAGCAGCAGGGACUUCUGGUUACUUGUGGUGGCAAGUUCUUUUCAUCACACUGGACCUGCCGCUGGGACUUCCAGUUAUUGGUGAUACGAAGUGUUCUUCUUCAAACGGGAGUUGCAGCUUGCACAUCUGCUUAGUUGUGAUGGUAAAGGCCUCUCUCCAUCCCUAAGCUGCAGCUGAGUCCUCUGCAUUUUUCUUAGGGCAAUUGGUCUUCUUCACCCAGUAGCUGCAGGAAAGAUUUCUGGUAACUUUUGAUGGCAAGUGAUCCUCUUCACCCUGCAGCUGCUGCCGGGACUUCUGGUAACUUGUGAUGGCAAGUGUUCAUCUUCACUCUGGAUAAGCAGCAGGGACUUCUUGUAACUUGUGAUGGCAACUGUUGUUCUUCACCCUGGAGCAGCAUCAAGGACUUCUGGUAACUUGUGAUGGCAAGUGUUCCUCUUCACCCUGGAACUGCAGGAGGGACUUCUGGUAACUUUUGAUGGCAAGUGGUCCUGUUCACCCUGUAGCUGCAGCAGGGACUUCUGGUAACUUGUGAUGGCAAGUGGUCCUCUUCACCAAGGAGCUGCAGCAGGGACUUCUGGUAACUUUUGAUGGCAAGUGGUCCUGUUCACCCUGGAGCCGCAGCAGGGACUUCUGUUAACUUGUGUUGGCAAGUGUUCGUCUUCACCCUUGGACAACAGCAGUGACUUCUGGUUACUUGUGAUGACAAGUGUUCCUCUUCACCCUGGAGCAGCAGCAGGGACUUCUGGUUACUUGUGUUAGCAAGUUCUUUUCAUCACACUGGACCUUGCCCUGGGACUUCCAGUUAUUGGUGAUAGGAAGUGUUCCUCUUCAAACGGGAGUUGCAGCUUGCACAUCUGCUUAGUUGUGAUGGCAAAGGCCUCUCUGCAUCCCUAAGCUGCAGCUGCGUCCUCUGCAUUUUUCUUAGGGCAAUUGGUCUUCUUCAACCAGUAGCUGCAGGAAAGAUUUCUGCUAACUUGUGAUGGCAAGUGUUCCUCUUCAUUGUGGAGCAGAAGCAGGGACUUCUGGUAACUUGUGAUGGCAAGUGUUCAUCUUCACCCUAGAGCAGCAGCAGGGACUUCUUGUAACUUGUGAUGGCAACUGCUGUUCUUCACCCUGGAGCAGCAUCAAGGACUUCUGGUAACUUGUGAUGGCAAGUGUUGCUCUUCACCCUGGAGCUGCAGCAGGGACUUCUGGUUACUUGUGGUGGCCAGUUUUCCGCUUCACUGUGGAGCAGCAGCAGGGACUUUUGGUAACUUGUGAUGGCAAUUUCUUUUCGUCACACUGGACCUGCAGCUGGGAUUUCCCGUUAUUUGUUAUGGCAAGUUUUCUUCUUCCAACGGGAGCUGCAGCUUAGAACUCUGCUAGGUUGUGAUGGCAAAGGCCUCUCUCCAUCCUGGAUCUGCAGCUGGUACCUCUGCUUGGUUGUGAUGGCAAAGGCCUCUCUGUAUCCUGGAGCUGUAACUGAGACCUCUACAUGGGUUUGAUGGCAAAGGCCUCUCUCUACCCUGGAGCUUCAGCUGCGUUCUUUCCAUUUUUGUGAUGGCAAUUGGUCUUCACCCAGUAGCUGCAGCUGGGCCUUCUGGUUACUUGUGAUGGCAAGUCUUCCUCUUCUCCCUGGAGCUGCAGCAGGUACUUCUAGUAACUUGUAAUGGCAAUUGUUCUUCUUCACCCUGGAGUAGCAGCAGGGACUUCUGGUUUCUUGUGAUGAUGGGAAGUGUUCUUCAAAUGCAAACUGCAGCUGGGACCUCUGCUUGGUUGUGAUGACAAAGGCCUCUCUCCACCCCAGAGCUGCAGCUGGGACCUCUGCUUCAUUUUGAUGGCAAGUUCUCCUCUUCCCCCUGGAGCAGCAGCAGGGACUUCUGGCUACUUGUGAUGGCAAGUUCUUUUCUUCACCCUGGACCCGCAGCUGGGAAUUCUGGUGACUUGUGAUGCAAAGUGUUUUUCUUCUAACUGGAGCUGCAACUGGGACCUCUGGUUUGUUGUGAUGCCAAAGCCCUCUCUCCGUCCCAUGGCUGCAGCUGGGACCACUACUUGCUUGUGAUGGCAAGUGCUCCUCUUCACCCUGGAGCUUGUUACAGGGAAUUCUAGUUACUUGUGAUGGCAAGUGCUCCUCUUCACCCUGGAGCAGUAGCAGGGAAUGUGUUUACUUGUGAUAACAAGUGAUCGUCUUCACUCUGGAGCUCCAGGUGUUACCACCAGUUUUUUGUGAUGGCAUUGGCCUCUCUCCCCCUUUGUGUGAAACUGGUAAUGUCUACCGUGCCCACACAGAGCUGCCCCUAAUCACCUUUUUAGCAGUUGUCUAAUACUUGGUUUCUUGGCAGUGAAAACUUUAAGAAAUGUGACAACUAUUCCUGCAGCUAUCACUGUGCCUCCCGUCCUCCAAGAUCCAUAGUAAGUGCCCUUCCCUUUGCCUUCUGAGCCAGUGACCCAAACUUCUCCUCACCUCAAACAUUUUUUUCAGCUGGACAAACUUUUUCUUUGUAUGGCACUUCAGAAUUUGAUUAUUUGAUAUUUUCAAGUUUUUUGGAAAGGCAAGUUGGUAGAGUUCCACUGGAAUGUUCUCUCUGUUCCACCAUCUUGGGGUUUUUUAGGGGGUGCAAGAACUUCCACUCCUGAAACAAAUUAAAACAGUUCCCCAAAAGAGGAGCACUAGGGAAGAUUAGGAGGAAGCAGUGAUCUACUUCCACAAAUUCACCUGAGUAUUCUUUAUCAAUUACACUUGAAGAAUAUGUCUGAGCUGGCCAGCCAUGAUCAUAAUUUAGUAGUGUUUCUUUCAAGAAAUUGUUAAUAUGAUUGAACACUGGAUGCAAUAGCUAGGAAUGCUGGGUUCUAUUCUUGAGUCUUGCUCUUAGCUUUCUGUCAAAGUUUUCCGAGAUGUAAAGGCUUCACUUUAGGGAAAAUGGAAACCCAGAACAACUGGAUUGAAUCUCUGGGGAGUUCAUAGACUGGAAAACGAAAGAGAACUUGCCCAAAUCCAUGAGGCAUUCUCAAGUAAUUUAGAAUUCUAAUGGCACUGGCAGUGUUGAGCAGCAGCAGCAAUGUCCCUUUGUGACCAUGGGCCAUGCUUUCUCUGUAGAUUUGACUUUGGAUUACUU
This is a long non-coding RNA of Sarcophilus harrisii (Tasmanian devil), 29219 nucleotides long. The record is from Ensembl. NCBI's taxonomy places the organism in Eukaryota, Metazoa, Chordata, Mammalia, Dasyuromorphia, Dasyuridae.